UGGGGAAUAUUGGACAAUGGGCGCAAGCCUGAUCCAGCCAUGCCGCGUGAGUGAUGAAGGCCCUAGGGUUGUAAAGCUCUUUCACUGGUGAAGAUAAUGACGGUAACCGGAGAAGAAGCCCCGGCUAACUUCGUGCCAGCAGCCGCGGUAAUACGAAGGGGGCUAGCGUUGUUCGGAUUUACUGGGCGUAAAGCGCACGUAGGCGGACUUUUAAGUCAGGGGUGAAAUCCCGGGGCUCAACCCCGGAACUGCCUUUGAUACUGGAGGUCUUGAGGAUGGAAGAGGUGGGUGGAAUUCAAAGUGUAGAGGUGAAAUUCGUAGAUAUUGGGAGGAAAACCAGUGGGGAAGGCGGCUCACUGGACCAUUACUGACGCUGAGGGGCGAAAGCGUGGGGAGCAAACAGG
Molecule: ribosomal RNA, 404 nt
Filed under: Actinomycetes bacterium
Lineage: Bacteria; Bacillati; Actinomycetota; Actinomycetes
Description: Actinobacteria bacterium partial 16S ribosomal RNA
Rfam family: Bacterial small subunit ribosomal RNA
Source: RNAcentral